GACGAACGCUGGCGGCGUGCUUAACACAUGCCAGUCGAACGGUAAGGCCUUUCGGGGUACACGAGUGGCGAACGGGUGAGUAACACGUGGGUGAUCUGCCCUGCACUUCGGGAUAAGCCCGGGAAACUGGGUCUAAUACCGGAUAGGACUGCGCGGUGCAUGCCGUGUGGUGGAAAGAUUUAUCGGUGCAGGAUGGGCCCGCGGCCUAUCAGCUUGUUGGUGGGGUAAUGGCCUACCAAGGCGACAACGGGUAGCCGGCCUGAGAGGGCGACCGGCCACACUGGGACUGAGACACGGCCCAGACUCCUACGGGAGGCAGCAGUGGGGAAUAUUGCACAAUGGGCGCAAGCCUGAUGCAGCGACGCCGCGUGAGGGAUGACGGCCUUCGGGUUGUAAACCUCUUUCAGCAGGGACGAAGCGUGAGUGACGGUACCUGCAGAAGAAGCACCGGCCAACUACGUG
This 462-nucleotide ribosomal RNA is filed under the name uncultured bacterium. RNAcentral's name for it is "partial 16S ribosomal RNA". It matches the Rfam family "Bacterial small subunit ribosomal RNA", at positions 28 to 507 of the family's 1533-position model. The record is from RNAcentral.